Molecule: ribosomal RNA, 456 nt
Filed under: uncultured bacterium
Lineage: Bacteria
Description: bacterial SSU rRNA
Rfam family: Bacterial small subunit ribosomal RNA
Source: RNAcentral
CGGAGGCAGCAGUGGGGAAUCUUCCGCAAUGGACGAAAGUCUGACGGAGCAACGCCGCGUGAGUGACGAAGGCCUUCGGGUUGUAAAGCUCUGUUGUCGGGGAAGAACGUCUUCUAUGUGAAUAAUGUAGGAGAGUGACGGUACCUGACGAGGAAGCCACGGCUAACUACGUGCCAGCAGCCGCGGUAAUACGUAGGUGGCGAGCGUUGUCCGGAAUUAUUGGGCGUAAAGCGCGCGCAGGCGGGAAAGUAAGUCUACUCUAAAAGUGCGGGGCUCAACCCCGUGAUGGGGUGGAAACUGCUUUUCUUGAGUGCCGGAGAGGAAAGUGGAAUUCCCAGUGUAGCGGUGAAAUGCGUAGAUAUUGGGAGGAACACCAGUGGCGAAGGCGACUUUCUGGACGGUGUCUGACGCUGAGGCGCGAAAGCUAGGGGAGCGAACGGGAUUAGAUACCCCGGU